UUACCGAGUGCUGGGUCCUUCGGGGCCCAACCUCCCACCCGUGCUUACCGUACCCUGUUGCUUCGGCGGGCCCGCCUUCGGGCGGCCCGGGGCCUGCCCCCGGGACCGCGCCCGCCGGAGACCCCAAUGGAACACUGUCUGAAAGCGUGCAGUCUGAGUUGAUUGAUACCAAUCAGUUAAAACUUUCAACAAUGGAUCUCUUGGUUCCGGCAUCGAUGAAGAACGCAGCGAAAUGCGAUAACUAAUGUGAAUUGCAGAAUUCAGUGAAUCAUCGAGUCUUUGAACGCACAUUGCGCCCCCUGGUAUUCCGGGGGGCAUGCCUGUCCGAGCGUCAUUUCUCCCCUCCAGCCCCGCUGGUUGUUGGGCCGCGCCCCCCCGGGGGCGGGCCUCGAGAGAAACGGCGGCACCGUCCGGUCCUCGAGCGUAUGGGGCUCUGUCACCCGCUCUAUGGGCCCGGCCGGGGCUUGCCUCGACCCCCAAUCUUCUCAGAUUGACCUCGGAUCAGGUAGGGAUACCCGCUGAACUUAAGCAUAUCAAUAAGCGGAGGAAAAGAAACCAACCGGGAUUGCCUCAGUAACGGCGAGUGAAGCGGCAAGAGCUCAAAUUUGAAAGCUGGCCCCUCCGGGGUCCGCGUUGUAAUUUGCAGAGGAUGCUUUGGGUGCGGCCCCCGUCUAAGUGCCCUGGAACGGGCCGUCAGAGAGGGUGAGAAUCCCGUCUUGGGCGGGGUGUCCGUGCCCGUGUAAAGCUCCUUCGACGAGUCGAGUUGUUUGGGAAUGCAGCUCUAAAUGGGUGGUAAAUUUCAUCUAAAGCUAAAUACUGGCCGGAGACCGAUAGCGCACAAGUAGAGUGAUCGAAAGAUGAAAAGCACUUUGAAAAGAGAGUUAAACAGCACGUGAAAUUGUUGAAAGGGAAGCGCUUGCGACCAGACUCGCCCUCGGGGUUCAGCCGGCACUCGUGCCGGUGUACUUCCCCGGGGGCGGGCCAGCGUCAGCUUGGGCGGCCGGUCAAAGGCCUCCGGAAUGUAGUGCCCCCCGGGGCACCUUAUAGCCGGAGGUGCAAUGCGGCCAGCCUGGG
Molecule: ribosomal RNA, 1074 nt
Filed under: fungal endophyte
Lineage: Eukaryota; Fungi
Description: eukaryotic LSU rRNA
Rfam family: Eukaryotic large subunit ribosomal RNA (bases 492-1074)
Source: RNAcentral